GGUGCGCACCGCGUAUGGAACCUACCUUUUACAGGGGGAUAGCCCAGGGAAACUUGGAUUAAUACCCCGUAGUACCUUUUGUAGCAUUGCAAGACGGUUAAAGCCUUCGGGCGGUAAAAGAUGGCCAUGCGUCCCAUUAGCUUGUUGGUAAGGUAACGGCUUACCAAGGCAACGAUGGGUAGGGGCCCUGAGAGGGGGAUCCCCCACACUGGUACUGAGACACGGACCAGACUCCUACGGGAGGCAGCAGUGAGGAAUAUUGGACAAUGGGCGAGAGCCUGAUCCAGCCAUGCCGCGUGCAGGAAGACUGCCCUAUGGGUUGUAAACUGCUUUUAUACAGGAAGAAACCCACCUACGUGUAGGUGGCUGACGGUACUGUAAGAAUAAGCAUCGGCUAACUCCGUGCCAGCAGCCGCGGUAAUACGGAGGAUGCAAGCGUUAUCCGGAAUCAUUGGGUUUAAAGGGUCCGUAGGUGGACAAUUAAGUCAGAGGUGAAAUCCUGCAGCUCAACUGUAGAAUUGCCUUUGAUACUGGUUGUCUUGAAUUAUUGUGAAGUGGUUAGAAUAUGUAGUGUAGCGGUGAAAUGCAUAGAUAUUACAUAGAAUACCAAUUGCGAAGGCAGAUCACUAACAAUAUAUUGACACUGAUGGACGAAAGCGUGGGGAGCGAACGGGAUUAGAUACCCCGGUAGUCCACGCCGUAAACGAUGGUCACUAGCUGUUCGGACUUCGGUCUGAGUGGCUAAGCGAAAGUGAUAAGUGACCCACCUGGGGAGUACGUUCGCAAGAAUGAAACUCAAAGGAAUUGACGGGGGCCCGCACAAGCGGUGGAGCAUGUGGUUUAAUUCGAUGAUACGCGAGGAACCUUACCAGGGCUUAAAU
Molecule: ribosomal RNA, 881 nt
Filed under: museum specimen metagenome
Description: bacterial SSU rRNA
Rfam family: Bacterial small subunit ribosomal RNA
Source: RNAcentral